GAUGAACGCUAGCGGCAGGCCUAACACAUGCAAGUCGAGGGGUAACUAGAGUGAUAGCAAUAUUACUUUGGCUAGACCGGCGCACGGGUGCGUAACACGUAUGCAACCUACCUUAUACUGGGGAAUAACUUCGAGAAAUCGGCGCUAAUACCCCAUAACAUUGCGAAGAGGCAUCUCUUUGCAAUUAAAGCUCCGGCGGUAUAAGAUGGGCAUGCGUCCAAUUAGCUAGUUGGUGAGGUAACGGCUCACCAAGGCUACGAUUGGUAGGGGUUCUGGGAGGAUGAUCCCCCACACUGGUACUGAGACACGGACCAGACUCCUACGGGAGGCAGCAGUGAGGAAUAUUGCGCAAUGGACGAAAGUCUGACGCAGCCAUGCCGCGUGCAGGAUGACGGCCCUAUGGGUUGUAAGCUGCUUUUGUACGGGAAUAAACCCUUCUACGUGUAGGAGGCUGAAGGUACCGUAAGAGUAAGCACCGGCUAACUACGUGCCAGCCGCCGCGGUAA
Molecule: ribosomal RNA, 506 nt
Filed under: uncultured bacterium
Lineage: Bacteria
Description: partial 16S ribosomal RNA
Rfam family: Bacterial small subunit ribosomal RNA
Source: RNAcentral